Monodelphis domestica (gray short-tailed opossum) is the source of this 9961-nucleotide non-coding RNA. NCBI's taxonomy places the organism in Eukaryota, Metazoa, Chordata, Mammalia, Didelphimorphia, Didelphidae. The record is from RefSeq and is a predicted model, not a curated record.
AGGAAAAUGUAGACCUCAGGUUAAAUGACAUCAUCCUGAUACAUUCAUCCCAUCAUGUUCCAGUUUUCCUGAAGAGGUGUUGGGAAAUCCUUAGUAGCUUCUCUUACUACAUCAUAUCCAGUCUUAGAGAUGAAGUUAUUUCUUAUCCUGUACUGGUCAGCAAUCCAUUGUUGUGUGGCUUGAAUAUUGACAACAAGCAGAGGAAGCCCUUGCUUAUAAGAUCUGAAUUAAUGUAUAUUCUUGGUUUACUCACUUUUAUGGUCAUCUAUAUCAGUGGGUGUGAGGAGGGGAAGCAAUCCACAUCUAGACUGCCUGCACGGUUACCCCAAAGUCCUUAAAUGGAAAUUCUAAUGAAGCCUUCAAACUCAAAUCAGGGAGAGGGUCCCUAAGGAAGCGAGAAUAAUUCUGAAACGUGAAUUCCAGCACUGAAAUUAUAUGUUGUGUUGAGGAAAUUCUGGAGCAUGACUGAGGAAUAUAGAAGAUCUCAAACUGGUGAGAAAUGGCAAAAGAGUUGGCCUAGAUAAGGAGAAGGAAGUUAAUUAAAAUAUUUGAAAUAAUUAAUAAUUUAUAGUUCCUUAAGGUUUUUUUUGUUUGUUUUGUUUUUACUUUUCUUGAAAUGAUUUUAUAAAAUGAUGAAACUGGUACCCUAUAUGGUUAAAUAAAUUUCCUAUGGUAAAAUUGUUAAUAAGUGUCAAAACAGAGAUUUGAAUUUUGUCUUCUGACUUAGUCUCUUAGAAAAAGAUUUUUAAAAGUAGCAUUAUAUAUCUAUACAGUGAACAACAUCUAUAUAAUGAGCUCCUUUAGGACAGGAGCCAUUUUUAUGUCUUUCUUUGAAUUCUCAGUCCCUUAAUAUAGUACCUAAUAGAGAGUAAAAACUUAAUAACUGGAGGGUUUAUAGAUCUGAGAAGAGUUAAAGAUCAUCUCAUUGAGUUCCCUCAUUUGACAGAUGAAGAAAAUAAGGGUAAGUAAAGAAUCAUGACUUGACCAAGGUCACAUAGACAGUAAUUAGAAGAGAUGACAUUCAAACACAGAUCACUAUUUUAAGGUUCCUCUUGGUAUUUAAACACUUUAAGCAGUUUCAAUCUAAAAUGAAAAUAGAUUAAUAUAAAAAGGCAUAUAAAAUAAUUUCAGCUACUACAAAGACAAAAAUACCCUUUUUAGCAACAGAAAUGUCAGUGUAUUUCUUUGAAUUUAAAAAUGAUAUUAAAUACUUAUAUAGUCCUGCCUGAAUAAUGAGCUUAAGGGCUCAAUGACUAUUAUGUUGAAUUUUUGUCUCUGAGGAAACACUAUUAUGGGAUCAUAGAAUUUCAUUUAAAAUUCAAAAUAUAUUCUGUGUUUUAGCUCAUUGCAAAGUUCAUUUAAUUUAUUGUACACUUCUAUAAAAAGAAAUUGGUUUUAGACAAUCGAUUGUUUAAAUGUAGAGUAUAACUUGAAGAUUAAAAGAUUUAGAAGAACAAAAUAGAACAACUUUGCAAUAAAUACAUUAAAUCCACCCAAUGCUUCAAAUUUUAAAUUAAAUAGAUAAUUAAGGUAUUGAUUAAAUGGAAAAUAAAACUGAAUGCCAUGCCCACAAUUAUGUACUGUAAUUUUUUUCAGAAUUUAUAUAUGUACAUAUAUAUUUUAAAGAAGGUCUGGUUGUAAAGAAAAUAUCUUAUUGUAGGUAUGGGGAGACUAUACCUUUAUAUGAGUAAAUCAUGAACUCAGAAAUUCAGCUUGCUUUUGUGGAAGAAUAGGAAGAGGAGCUUGUAUAGUACCUCUGUCAACAUUGAUUCAUAAACAACAAGAUUUUUGUUUUUUUGCUUAUUGUGAAAGCUAGAGUAAUUGUUAAUAUGUUUAUUGCAUCUAUGUUUUAGGGCCCCAAAGUCUCUUGACUUCAAACUUUGAGGCAAUGUGGCUCAGUGAAAGAGCAAUGAAUUUAAAGUCACUAUAAGAAGACUCUGACUCUUGGCUCUCCUAUUUAUUAUCUACUCGGGCAAGUCACUCACCCACCAGGGAAGUGCUAAGACUGGAUAGCCUUUAAGAACCUUUCUAGUUUUCUAACUUCUACUUCAGUCAUCUGCAGUGGAGAGCACACCAUAACUUAGAAUUUCUUUACUCUCUAACUGAAAGGGAAUGUGAUAUAAAAAUAACAUUUUAUUUUAUUCUUAAACUAAAUUAUGCUGAAUCUGAAGGAUAAAGAUUUGAUUGGAACUCCACCCAUUCCCAUGUUCUUACAUUUUAAUCCCUACAUACACUUUUUUGAGCCAGCAACCCAAUCCUUUUUGGUAUUUUUUGCAUAGGACAUUCCAUAUCCUAUGUUCUCUUUAGGAGACCUUUCAUAGUUCCUACUCUUCUUUUGCUUCUUCAGCAUUUAAUAUGGUGCCUGGAAAAGAGUAAACACUUAAAUUCUUGCUUACCAACUGCUCACUAACUGGCCAAUAAUCUAACUCUUUUGAGCCUCAGAUUACACAUCUAUAAUGUGAAGGUUUUGGACUAGAUGAUUGUCAAGACCCUUUAUCUUAUGAUCUUAAUUAUAUGAUGUCCUUUCAUUAUAAUAUGGUCUUUCUGCUCCUAUCCUUUUACUCAUCCUUUACCUAUAAAUGAGACAAUACCCAUUGCCAUUUUUAUGGUCAGAUAUCUAUAGCAUCAAAUCCAAUUUUGGAUAUCACUCUUUAGAAGACAUUUAUAGCACAUGAGAAGAAUCACCAUAAUGUCAUAUUAUGAUGAUUAUAGCUGAAAGAAUUUAGAAAUAUGAAACUGUAGAAGAAGAGUUUUAAAGUAGGUGAAAUUGCUGACUUCAAAUAUUUGGAAUCAUAAUCAUUAAAGAGACUAAACUAUUUUACUUUUGUCCUGGAGGCCUGAACUAGAAUCAACCAGUAAAAUUUAGAGUAAGAUUUGGGUUCAAAAUCAGUAAGCCAUCUACAAAAUUAAAUCAGCUAUUUUAAAAUGCAUAAAUGGACUCUUGGGAAAAGCAAAUUCUCCAUUGAUGAGGAUCUUCAAACUGAGACUAAAUAUCAAGAUAUUAUUGAUAAGAUAUAGGAUUUGGACAUUUGAUGAACUGAAAAAUCUAAAAUUCUUCCAAAUCUAAGAUUUCAUAAUUCUGUCAUUUGUUAUCCUGACCUCCAAAUCUUUUCCUCUCUAGUUUAGUAGUUUAUUACUGAUCCAUGUGUUGUCUUGGCCCUAUGGUUAACCAUUUCAGUAGUAUAGUAUCCUUUGAUGCAGUGUCCUGUAAGGUAUAACAUUAGGGGUUAUUGACUGAAUAUAUUAUACUAGUGGUCGCCAGGGAUUAAUUCAAUCCCAAUACAAUACUCGUCAGUUUGGGAUUUUUAUGAUGGUUUAAUUAAAAUAUAGGGAAGAAAUUAAGAAGAAGAGAGAGAGAGGAAAGAGAAUUUAACCUGCUCCAGUCCCGGCUGAGCCAGUCAGGAGUUCAGAGGCCUUAGCCAAGGGGCCUUCUCAAUCUAGCUAGGCUACCAGCCAGGAGGGCUCCUCCAAGAUGAGGGGUUUCCUAGGAGGACAGUGUUUUAGGAGGUAAAGGAAAGGAGGAAUCAGCCUAACCACUCACUAGGCAUGCUAAGAAUGCCUCUAGGAGUUCCCCAAGCUGCCAAGCCCAAUUUCUCUGCAAGAGAGGCUGGAGAGAGGUAGUGAUGUGAAAUAUAUAGGCCUUUUUUACAUCACUUCACUUUCUGCAUCUCACAUGUACCAGUAAUAGCUUAAGUUCGAGUUAGGUCUGCUCAGAGGGUCUGUCAGAUGUUUCUUAUUUGUCACUUGCUAGCACAUGUUGGUCAUAGGUCAUCCUACUCACAGUUAAUCUUUAAGUGAGGGUGUAUACAUCCUUUGGUUGCUAAAUUUCUAAGACUAAGCAGGGUGGAGAAAAUGGAAAAUUCACAAUCCCCCCUGAUGAUGAUUGGGGGACUAGUUUCUCCACUUGAUCACUAUACAAUCAUCCUACACCUCUAAAUUUUCUAACUGCAGGUGCAUACAAAAUUUUCCCUUCUAAGAGUAAACUAUAAUAGUUAGAGAGAAGAGGGGAAAAGAAGAAAGAAAGACAGCAAAAUCAAUGUUUGCUAGGUACAUUGACAAAAACCAAUUAGGGGGCAUAAGAGUAUACAUACAUAACCUUCAGUUAAAUCAACCACAACCAAAGUUCAUUCUAGAUCUUCAUGAUGUAGUGUAGGUUUUUCAGGCAUCUUUCUGCAAACUGUUCAUUCUCUGUAUUUAGGAGUGUGAAUCGUAAAACUGCUCAGACUCUACCUUGGAACAUUUGGUUAAGGCUAUUCCCCAUUUUAACAAUGGAGAUACUUGAUCAGGAAUGUAUUGGGAAUUUUAACAUUACUCCACCCGUACUUAGGCAUACUUUAGGGGAAGAUAAAGUUGUAAAACUCCUUUCUGAACAAUGAAAAAUUCCCUAACUCCUACUUAUAGUGAGGCCAAAACCUUAAGCUAGGUCUAUUUUUUAGAUCUAAUACAAAAGGGUGCUAAGUACCUAUAAAGGUUAAAUUAAUCACUAAAAGGUCAAGCAACUUACAAAGGGCAAGCUUAACAAGAGGUGUCAAGUUUUAUUCUACUCAGGGAAGGUGAUUAACAAAACAAGAUGUGAAUUAAGAAUGGUCAGUCCUGUGGAAAACGUCAACUGUGAUUGGUAGAUGUGAAAAUUUAAGGGAGGUGACAUAAGAGAAAUUUCUCUUUAAAAGGAGCUUGCUCUCUCAACUUAGAGGGAGUUGGAUCUCAGACUAGCUGGAGUAACUGGGCCUCUGAACUUAGUUGGACUUUUGCUUGGGACACAAUCUAGCCAUUUGGCCUAGGCCCUAGCCUUUUUCCUACUAUUUCCUCUUACUCUGUCUCUCUCCCUUCCCUUAAUUCCGUCAAUUCUACUUAUUAAAAUCUCCAUAAAACCAAACUGACUUGGGUAUUUGGGAAUAUUGGGAAUUUUUCCCAUGGCAACUACUUACUUUGAUAAAAAUCAAGACACUAAAAUUAUCUUUACAGUUUUGGCAAUUCACAGUCUUGAAACCCGCAUUUUUACGGUCACAGGAGUUAGCAAGCUUCUUUCCUUGAAGAUCUUUCCCGAACAAAAUAUUUCAAAAUCUUGAAUUUUUAUUAAAAUACAAUAUACCCCAUGAAGUGGGUGUUGAGAAACACCCAGUUCAGCUCAGGAUGCAUAGUUGAGUUAUGGGGGGUAUAUGAGUCAAUUAUCAAAAGAAGAGAAACAAAAACCAAAAACACAAAGAAAAAAAUUGAAGUUAAACUUUUGGGAGAAGGAAAAAAAUUAAAAAUCAGGAAUCAAAAUAUCAAAAUAUAAAAUUGUAUAUAAAAUUGUGAGUAAACAAGAAUAAACUCAUAAUAGACUCUUGUAUUAGGGUCCAAUAAAUUUCUACAGGCCCUAUUAUUAGUGUCCAAUUAAAGUAAUUUCUAUCCCACAACUCUGUAGGACAGAAUGUAGUAAUAUUUCACUUACCCAUUUGCAGCCAAGACUACAGGAAGUUGCCAUACUAUAAGAGAGAAAAAGUACUAGAUUUUUGUGUGUGAUAGGGAAGUGUUAUUCCCUCGUUUGAUUUCACCUUCAUUCUCAGGGAUAGGGGGAGCCAGGAUGAUAUCCAAAUUUUGGUACUUGUCUGUGAGUAUUUCACAAAGAGUGUGGAUACAAGGAAGUCCUAGGUCUUAACAUAUGUCAAGCAUCUCAAGUCUCGAGUCUCACACUAGGUUCAAGUUCUUUUGUAUUGACUUAGAAGAACAUUAAUCCUAUCUGGAUUGGUUUCUUUCUUAUUGACCUGUGUGCUCUUUUUUGGCACUAUUCAGGUUAAGUCUAUGCUUCUAUGGCACUGUAUAGAUGAAUUCAGGGCUCCUUUUUUUAAUCCCAUUUUCUAGAAACAGACACAAAACAUUAAUCACAGUCCCAUAACAUUUAUAAAUAAAAGACAGGUUCACACAGUCUAAAACUUUGGUUAUGCCUUAAUAUUAUAGCAAGUAUAUAUGUAUUUUAAACUUAUAUUACUGCAGAAUAAAAAAAUAAUAUUGAUUGUAUGUACCUUAAGUACAAGAAAUCAGAAAAGGAAAAAAUCAAAUAUUUCAAUCAAAAUAAAAGAAAAGCAAUAAUAAAAAUAAGGGGAAAAGAGGGAAAAAUUCAGGAAUUCAAUGUGUUCUUGAAAAACAGCAUUCACUUGUCAAUAGAUUAUUAUCUCUAAUGCAUGUGAUAGGAUGCAGUCAAUCAGCCUCAACAGAAGAUGAUCUCUUUACAUAUGAGAAAUGAAUCCAAGUGCCCUUCUCUCUGAUUUGUAUAGAUGUUGGAAUAGUUAACAAUAUUUGGAAUGGCUCUUCCUAGGAAUGCUGAGUUGCUCCAGUAUGCUGGAAAUUCUUAAUAUACACCUUGUCUCCUGGGUUCAGGUUGUGAAGUGAAAAGUCUAGUGGUCCAGCUUGUACUGCAGCUCCAGAUUCAUGGAGUUUACAUUGUUUAUGCUGCAAUUCCUGUAUAUAGGAAGCAAUCGUAGUAUCUCCUCCUAAUAGUGAUGUAUAUACAGGGGAGAAAAGCUUAGUCUGUAUAGGUGGAUGUCCAAAAAGCUUCUCAAAUGGUGAGAUGUGUAGGUCUUCUCCUCUGGGCCUGCUUCUAAGAUAAAAUAGGGCCAGAGGGAGAAUUUCAGGCCAUUUUAAAUGUGCCUCAGUACAUAAUUUGCAAAUCAUAGUUUUAAGUUCUCUGUUCAUUUUUUCAACUUGGCCUGAGCUCUAGGGAUGAUAUGGAACAUGGAGUUUGGGAGUUAUUCCCAAGCAUGAAUAUAUCUGAUUUAGAACAGGAUCAGUAAAAUGACUUCCCCUAUAUGAAUCAGUACUUGCUGGCAGACCAAAACAAGGAAUAAUCUCUUUUAAAAGUAUUUUAGCAACUAAAGUCACUGUGGCUCAGACUGUAGGAAAUGCUUCCGGCCAUCUGGUCAGUUGAUCUACUAUGACUAGACAAAAUUUACAAUGUCCAGCCUUUGGCAUUGUUAUGAAAUCUAUCUGUAGGUGCUCAAAAGGUGUGUAAACCAGAGGAUGCUGUACCCACUUUAGAGGCUAUAAUAGUUAUACCAGGGGAUAUCCAUACUCUUUUGAUAGAGUCCCCAAUGCCCUGGGUACCAAAGUGACCAUUUUUAUGAACAGAUUGGCAAAUUUGGUGAUAGAAAUUUCUAGGGAGCAGGAGUUUUCCUUCAGAUGAUACCCAUACUCCAUUAAUCUGUUUUGUUUUAAAUCUUUGCUUCCAUUUUUUCUCUUCCUUUUCAUUAUAGGAAAGUUAUAAAUUUAAGUCAUCAGUGGCUGUCAAUGUUAAAAUUAAUUCAGGCUUCUAUGGCUGCUAGCUUUGCAGUGGUGUCUGCUCAGUCAUUUCCCCUAGAGACAAGGUCAGUACCACCUGAAUGGUCAGAUCAAUGAACUACAGCUAGGUCUUCAGGCAGCUGGAUAACAGAAAGAAAUUCAUUAAUAAUUUCUUCAUUAGCUAUAGAUUUUCCAGCUGAUUUCCAGUAUAGAUUUCCAGUUAAAAAUCCUCUCUGGAGCCAUAGCAUCCUGACUGAGUGACAAAUGCCAAAUGCAUAUCCAGAAUCUGUAUAAAUUGUUGCCUUUUUAUCCUUGGCAAUUACACAGGCAUGCUUCAGGGCUAUGAGUUCUGCACCUUGAACACUAAUAUUAGAGGGUCAGUGAAGCUGACCACUCAGUGGCAAAUUCUGUGACUACAGCAGCUCCAGUGUAGCAUAUGCCAUCCAUCAUAAAAGAAGAACCAUCAGUAAAUAAGACCAGAUCUGGGUUGUCUAAGGGUGUGUCCAAGAGAUUAUCUGGAGACUUUUCUGCCAUGGACACUAGUGUUUGACAACUGUGUAAUGGUUCUCCUGAAGUUGGUAAAUCUGGAAGCAAGGUGGCAAUGUUAAGAGUUGUACAGCUUUUCAGAGUAAUAUUUUCAUUGUUUAACAGGGUUAUUUCAUACCUUGUAAUUCCUUGAUCAGAAAAUGUCUGUGUUCUAUGCCUUAGCAAUAAUGCUUCUAUCUCAUGUGGGCACAUAAUUGUUAAUGAGCAUCCCAAUACUAGAUCAUCAACAGUUUUUGUCACUAGUAAGGCUGUAUCAGCUAUGCCUCUAAGACAUGGUGGUGCUCCUGAAGCUACUGUGUCCAGCUGGACUGAAUAAUAAGCAACUGGGCACUGAGUAGGCCCCAAAGUCUGAGUUAAAACAAUUGAAGUUACCCCUCUUCGCUCAUGUACAUACAAAGUAAAUGGCUUGUUGUAAUCUGGGAUGCCUAGAUAGGGGCAGACAGGAUAGCCUAUUUUAUAUCUGAUAGAGCUGACAAGUGUUCUGGCUCUAAUUUUAGGGGCUCAGGGAUUGAAACCCUUGUUAAUGCUAUAAGGGGUUUACUAAUUUCCCCAUAGCAAGGAAUCCAUUGUAUACAAAACCCUGUUGCUCCUAAAAUUGCUCUCAACUGCUUCUUAGUGAUAGGAACACUUAAAUUUUUAAUAUUAUCAAUUCAUUUUGGAGACAUAGAACGGGCACCCACAGUCAGGAUGAACCCCAAAUAUUCUACUUUGGAGAGACACCACUGAACUUUAUUUGUUGAGAUCUUAUGCCCUCUUUUGUGCAGUUCCAAAAGAAGGGGUUUACUAUCUUCCUGACAUGCUUCUGUGACUGUUGAAGCCAAGAGUAGAUCAUCUACAUAUAUGAUUAAUUUGCUGUUUUUAAAUUUUAUAUUUUCUGUGUCUUGCCUCAAAAUUUGUGGAAAUAAACUUGAGCUUUCUAAUUGUUGUAUUCUGGUUCUUAAAGACUGGAUUUCAUCCCUGUCUUUUUGGUCAUCCUCCUUAUGGUAUGAUUUUCUUUGGAGGUAAUCUUUCAUCUUCUUUGCCUCCUCUUUCAUUUCCUUUGCCUCAUUUUCAAACUGAUUAAUUUUGGCUUUCAAGACACUGCUAUCUGUUUCCAGAUGACUUAUCUUGCUUUUAAAGUUGUCUUCAACAUCUCUUAAUUGUGUUUUGAAUUUUAUUUUGAAUUCUUCCAGAGCCUGUAUCCAAUUUGCUAGGUUUUCUUUUUAUUUGCUUGGAGUUCCCUAAUCCUUCUCUGUUCCUUUUGCUCUUUGUUCAUUGCCUGUAUAGAAACUGUCGAUUGAAAUUUAUUUUUUUCUUUUUCUGUUGUUUGCUCAUAUUUACCCCUUCUUUACUCCUUGCUGUUGCCUGAGCUCUUGCUCAUCUCAUUUUUUUGUGGUUUUGGGCUUUUCUUUUUGCCUUCACUGUUGGAGUUUUGUUAGUAAAUCUCUCAGUUGAUUCUGUGGGGGAGGGGUGUUGGAGCUUGAGCUUCUCUUCCCUCUGGAAGCUUUAAUGGGAUUAAGUCCAGCAGUCUUGGGGGAAGACUUUUGGAACUUGAGCUUCCCAGUACUCUGGAGACUUUGAUGGGAUUAAGUCUGACUGGGUUGCUUGAUGUGCCCUGGGGCCAAAAACCUCUGGAAAGGUGGGGGGACAAUAUGGAGUGCCUCCUCUGCUGCAACUAUGCCUCAAGGUCUGAGCUAUGCAUUUCUCCUCUAUCUGCUUCCACAUUGUCUGUGUUAUACAGUCUGAGCCAGGCACAGCUUUGCCCACAAGUUACUCCCUCCAGACCAGCACCUUUGCCUGCCCAGAGAUUCCAGCUGCCACUGGAAGCUUAGUGCUCUAGUUGGGGGAAAGGUCCCUGGACCUUCCUUCUUCCUUCCCCUUAAACUGGAAUGUUCUCAAAUUCCAGCUUUUGGGCACUUUCCUUUUAAGUUGAGUCCAGUAGGAGAGUUUCUUGGCUCUGUCUUGUUGUUAGGUUUGAUUUUCAGUCCCCUAGGAGCAUUUAGUUUGCAAUUCAUAAGGAAGGGUUUUCAGAGGUCUGAAUGUUUGCUGCCUCUAUGCUACCAUCUUGAAUCUGCCUCUCUCUUGCUCCAAAAUAUGAGAUAUUCUGAUAUCUUUAAUGUCCCUAAUUUUUCAAAUGCCAUGAAAAUUUCAUAGAAUUUAGUAUUCUUUUAUAUAUAUA